UACGGAGGGAGCUAGCGUUGUUCGGAAUUACUGGGCGUAAAGCGCGCGCAGGCGGUCCUUUAAGUCAGGGGUGAAAGCCCAGAGCUCAACUCUGGAACUGCCUUUGAAACUAGAGGACUUGGGUACGGGAGAGGUGAGUGGAAUUCCGAGUGUAGAGGUGAAAUUCGUAGAUAUUCGGAAGAACACCAGUGGCGAAGGCGGCUCACUGGCCCGUUACCGACGCUCAGGCGCGACAGCGUGGGGAGCAAACAGG
Molecule: ribosomal RNA, 253 nt
Filed under: uncultured bacterium
Lineage: Bacteria
Description: partial 16S ribosomal RNA
Rfam family: Bacterial small subunit ribosomal RNA
Source: RNAcentral